CACAUCACGAAGGGUGUAAAGCAAACCAUUAUGGAAUCAUAAAAAGCACCGACGACGUCAAUAGGUUUAAUAAAUUGAACUCGGACGAUUUUUUCAUGCUUCAGACGACCAUCGUUAUUAAAUAUUAGCUUAGCAAUAAAUUAACACUACAAUUAACUUUAACUUUAAUAGUAUUACUUAAGUAAAACGCAACAUUAUAGCAAUUAUAAAUUAACAGAUAUUGUAUACAAGGACCCGGUCGAAAAAAAGAUAGCUGUGGUGUUUUAACCGACUUUGCAGUUUUCAAAGUUCAAAUAAAAACUAAAAACAAACACAAUUUGAAAAUGUAUUUAUGAAAGUAAAAAAAAGUAGACUCUGCAGUAAAUAAACACAAUCAACACAAUUUGUAGUAAAAAGUUGACAUUUUACAAGUCAGAUUAUAUUUUUCAUCAACAUACUGUUAUAUUUUCAUUUUCGAAAAGUAUACGCGCAUUUGGAUAAGUUUGUAUUCGUUGAUAACCUGACUAACAGUUAUUUGAUUACAAUAUUGCGGUAUGUCAUGUACAUGUGUGGCCCUUUUGCAAACUACUCACUGAGCAUUCACUAAGUGUGUUUAUAUGCACAUAAAUCUCUCACGUGUAUCUGAUUGAAGGACUAGUUGUCCACACAAGUCAGUUUAGUCAGUCUAGUCAGUAGAAUUUUAUUAUUCACUUAUUUUAUAUGGCAAAAUAAACAAUAAACGGGCUCGCGCGAAAACGCACAAGAAAUAUGAAAUAUUUGAUCACACAAAGUCAUGAUUUAUUGAGUUUCAAAUUUAGGAAAUAUUGAUUAUAGUUUUGUGACUAGCACUCUCGAAUUACUCGGCAUCAAAUUAAAGUGACGACUAUUGCAAAGACGAUAGUGAGUACAGCACUGGAUUUGUUUCGGCUUAAAAAUAUCCAUAAAAUAACAUAAGGGCCCGAAUACGUUAAAUUGUUACUAUAAGUGGAUGUGAUUACAAUCUGACCGGUCAGACUAGAUACUCGUGAACACAAGAGGUUCUGUACCGGUUCUCUCUGUCCGCUAAUUGUUGUGGUCACCGAUCGAAAAGGUACACAAUACACGUUAUUAUUAUGGUUAAUUUUCUUCAUUAUUAAACAUACUGUAAUGGAUAGUAACAUCACACUAAAUAUGAUCAUAAUGAAUUAAAAGUUCGGAGGAAUAUUUCAGGUAAUUUUAACAGACGCCCUCGCACAAAUAUUGGAAUAUUUUAUUAGACUAUAAAACAAAAUAUUCAUCGAUUGGUUAUGUUCAAGAGGCGUAGGUGUUUAUAUAUUUGUUUCGAUAAAUCCGAUCAGUACCCGCGUAUUUUGUGAGUGGAUCAAUACUUUGAAAAAUAAUCCUAAGAUUAUUUAUCGGGAUGUCUUGAAGUUUAAAUUUAGUGACUUUUUUUAUCAUUUUUGAGAUAAAAGAUAAAAUUAAAUAAAUUACUCAUAAAAGUUCAUUCAAACAUUAGAUAUUAAAGAAAAGUCAUUAUGAAAACACUACUCAAUGGAAAAACUAUUGAUAUAAGUGUCUUAUAAAAAUGAAUAAAUGUAAUUUAUUCUA
Daktulosphaira vitifoliae (grape phylloxera) is the source of this 1566-nucleotide long non-coding RNA. RefSeq lists it as uncharacterized. NCBI's taxonomy places the organism in Eukaryota, Metazoa, Arthropoda, Insecta, Hemiptera, Phylloxeridae. The record is from RefSeq and is a predicted model, not a curated record. The transcript is spliced from 3 exons.